AGAGAGAGAGAGGCCAACAAUUGUACAAAGUUAUAUUAGCAUUCAACCAUAGCUUGUCAGGCUAAAUUGAAGCCAUUUCUGUCGCCGGGGAGGUCACAGCUGCUGUUCUAUGUUCCGAAGAUUUGACGGAUCAAACCCAGGAAAUUUCCAUCGCGAGACUCUGACCAAGGAGUGACUAAGACGCGAAAUUUCCGAUUGGAUUGGGUAUUUGCUAACGUCCGCAUUCUCAACUUAGACGAAUGCUGAGGGCUGCGUUUCAUAGCCUGAGCUCACAACAACGAGACGACGGGUUCUUCUUCUUCUCCCUGUUCAAACACCGAAGCGAAGACUAUUAGGCUGCCGGAGAAAUGCACAUUGUUUUAGAGCAUGGGAUACGGAACCGGAUCGACAGAAGACUCCUGCAUGUAGAUUUUUGAUAGGAGAAAGCCGCUGAGUCUGGUGUAAAGCAGAGUCAGACUAUAUCUCUGGUGGAUCAACAACAUGGGGAGACCCACCUAUGGAGUCCGGCGGCGGGGUGGACCUAUUCCCUUCGGAUCUUGCCGGUGAUUCAUCGGCGGUGGACUGGGGAUUCCGCCGCGCUGCCGGCGAGGAGCUGCACGAUUCCCGGGGCUAGAUGAGGCGGUUGUUUGGUCAAAUGUCGGCGAGUUUGUC
This 651-nucleotide long non-coding RNA is filed under the name Spirodela polyrhiza (greater duckweed). RNAcentral describes it as "long non-coding RNA (SPOL_LNC002170)". The record is from RNAcentral. Lineage: Eukaryota; Viridiplantae; Streptophyta; Magnoliopsida; Alismatales; Araceae.